RNAcentral lists this ribosomal RNA (297 nucleotides) under uncultured bacterium. RNAcentral describes it as "partial 16S ribosomal RNA". It matches the Rfam family "Bacterial small subunit ribosomal RNA", at positions 497 to 793 of the family's 1533-position model. The record is from RNAcentral.
CUAACUCCGUGCCAGCAGCCGCGGUAAUACGGAGGGUGCGAGCGUUAAUCGGAAUUACUGGGCGUAAAGCGCAUGCAGGUGGUUUGUUAAGUCAGAUGUGAAAGCCCGGGGCUCAACCUCGGAAUUGCAUUUGAAACUGGCAAACUAGAGUACUGUAGAGGGGGUAGAAUUUCAGGUGUAGCGGUGAAAUGCGUAGAGAUCUGAAGGAAUACCGGUGGCGAAGGCGGCCCCCUGGACAGAUACUGACACUCAGAUGCGAAAGCGUGGGGAGCAAACAGGAUUAGAUACCCUCGGUAG